AAACCAAAGCUGGCGACCGGCGCACGGGUGAGUAACACGUAUCCAACCUGCCUCAUACUCGGGGAUAGCCUUUCGAAAGAAAGAUUAAUAUCCGAUAGCAUAUAUUUCCCGCAUGGGUUUUAUAUUAAAGAAAUUCGGUAUGAGAUGGGGAUGCGUUCCAUUAGGUUGUUGGCGGGGUAACGGGCCCACCAAGCCUUCGAUGGAUAGGGGUUCUGAGAGGAAGGUCCCCCACAUUGGAACUGAGACACGGUCCAAACUCCUACGGGAGGCAGCAUG
Molecule: ribosomal RNA, 276 nt
Filed under: uncultured bacterium
Lineage: Bacteria
Description: partial 16S ribosomal RNA
Rfam family: Bacterial small subunit ribosomal RNA
Source: RNAcentral